UAAACUGACAAAAAUACCUCACUGUCCUUAAUUGUAUUGUCUCACUGAGAGCCUUACAUUAGAGGACUCCUAAUGGCGGAAGGUCCGGGACUUAGUGGAAAUAGACCGCGCUGUGCGCCAUUUUGGGACGAUUUUCUCGCAUGCGUGGUAAAAGUUGGCCGUAAUGAUCAGUGGGUUCAAUGUCAAAACUACAGAGAAGAUUACCUUGAAUGUUUGCACCACAAGAAACUGUAUACAAGAAUUCAGAAGAUUAAAAGGCAUAAAGAAAAGCUCAUUAAAGAGGGAAAAUGGCCACCCAAGGAUUUAUCCACAGCACAGUAAUCUUGUCAGGCAAAUUGUUUUGUGCAAUUCAUACAUGAGGUAUUGAAAGAAGUUUAUACUUGUGUGUUUUGUAAGAUUCAGGAAACCAUAAAAAUGUACGUUUCUUGAUUUUGUAAUGAAGAUACAACAUGGUGUUAUCAGCUUUCUGAUUAAGUGUAAGUUUUUUGUUAAUCUGAAUGUAAGGAAAGACUGUUCAAGAGUAAGAGUUUGGCCAAUGUUAUCAGUAUUAACUUGACAAACAAGGAACUGCAAUAAGGGAAUGNAAUGG
Orbicella faveolata is the source of this 589-nucleotide long non-coding RNA. NCBI's taxonomy places the organism in Eukaryota, Metazoa, Cnidaria, Anthozoa, Scleractinia, Merulinidae. The record is from RefSeq and is a predicted model, not a curated record.